Molecule: ribosomal RNA, 494 nt
Filed under: uncultured bacterium
Lineage: Bacteria
Description: partial 16S ribosomal RNA
Rfam family: Bacterial small subunit ribosomal RNA
Source: RNAcentral
GACGAACGCUGGCGGCGUGCUUAACACAUGCAAGUCGAACGGAAAGGCCUGCUUUCCCUUGUGGAUUGCGGGUACUCGAGUGGCGAACGGGUGAGUAACACGUGAGUGAUCUGCCCCCAACUUGGGUAUAAGCCUGGGAAACUGGGUCUAAUUCCCGAUAGGACUGCAGGGUGGUGCCUGUGGUGGAAAACGAUUUUCUAGUGGUUGGGGAUGAGCUCGCGGCCUAUCAGCUUGUUGGUGGGGUAAUGGCCUACGAAGGCGGCGACGGGUAGCCGGCCUGAGAGGGGGGACGGCCACAUUGGGACUGGGAUACGGCCCAGACGGCAACGGGAGGCAGCAGUGGGGAAUAUUGGAGAAUGGGCGGAAGCCUGAUGCAGCGAGGCCGCGUGGGGGAUGACGGGCUUCGGGUGGUAAACUACUUUCGACCGAGAGGAAGCCACCUGGUUGGAAGGGUGGUGACGGUAGUGGUAGAAGAAGCACCGGCUAACUACGUG